This 372-nucleotide ribosomal RNA is filed under the name uncultured bacterium. RNAcentral describes it as "bacterial SSU rRNA". It matches the Rfam family "Bacterial small subunit ribosomal RNA", at positions 525 to 896 of the family's 1533-position model. The record is from RNAcentral.
ACGGAGGGAGCUAGCGUUGUUCGGAAUUACUGGGCGUAAAGCGUGCGUAGGCGGUGACUCAAGUCAGAGGUGAAAGCCUGGAGCUCAACUCCAGAACUGCCUUUGAAACUAGGUCGCUAGAAUCAUGGAGAGGUGAGUGGAAUUCCGAGUGUAGAGGUGAAAUUCGUAGAUAUUCGGAAGAACACCAGUGGCGAAGGCGGCUCACUGGACAUGUAUUGACGCUGAGGCACGAAAGCGUGGGGAGCAAACAGGAUUAGAUACCCUGGUAGUCCACGCCGUAAACGAUGAUAACUAGCUGCCAGGACUCUUGGAGUUUUGGUGGCGCAGCUAACGCAUUAAGUUAUCCGCCUGGGGAGUACGGUCGCAAGAUUA